GUCAUCAUUCCAGUCAAGACCUGAUCAAAUUAUUAUGCAACGCCACUUUACACGACAUAACACUUAAAUAUCGUUGUGGGGCUGUACACAAACUUUCUUGUUAGCAUCCACAGCGAACAUAACAAACUUGGCUUGCCAAGUACUACACUGCAGGCAACUUGCUUUAUAAUUUAGGUUUGCGCUACCUAUGAUGACGGAAUCUGGCAUUUAUCUCUCCUUCCCCCUUUAUCUUUUGAUUAUGCUUGUCAUGGGCAGCAAAAUGCCAAGAAACGCGAUGCAAAUUUGCAAGGACCAUCACAUCAAUUAUAGGCUCAAUGUAUUUCGUUCAAUUAAGAUGCACAGGAAGAUCAAUAAUGCCAUUAUUGCCUCAGAAGAACCUGUUGCUAAGGUCGACAGGUUUCACUUUAUCCUCCACUAAAGCAUAGACCACUGCUGUUCUAGAUGGUGUAUACACCAUGAAGGACCGAGGCCGGUUAUCAUACCACCCUUCAGAGCUGAAGUACUCUGCAUUAUGAUUAAGCCUGCCGAAGCCUCCAAACAAGGGAUCAUCUGAAUCCAAGACAAUCUUGUACUUUCCUGGCUUUAAGCAGCCAACUCGGUAAUCUGAAUAGCUGCUAGUCCAAUGAAAAUUGAAUACAAAAACCAGGUUUCCCCUCUCGAAGACAAUGAUCCGAUCUCCUUCAUCUUUCCGUGAUAUGUAUUGGUGCUCAGAAGUCAUGAAACCAUAGGC
This 730-nucleotide unclassified non-coding RNA is filed under the name Hevea brasiliensis (rubber tree). Lineage: Eukaryota; Viridiplantae; Streptophyta; Magnoliopsida; Malpighiales; Euphorbiaceae. The record is from RNAcentral.